GGGGAUGCUUGCACAAGGGCACCGUCGACUCUACCACGCCGUCAAAAAAGAGGAGGAGGACGCCACCUUCCGCCUCUAGGGUGGAGACGCCACCGAUAACAACCACAUCGGGGAGGCCAGGUGGUCUGGUGGUGGCUUCGAGGCUAGAUGGAGGUCGGAGCUUGACGAAACUGUGGUGAUGGCGGCGGUGCUUCUCUUCCACACUUGCUGUUGAAACUUCUGAAUCUGUGUGGCCUCCACAAGCUUUUACUUCUACAUCCCUGCAUAAUGGAUUGGAACUCAAGAAAUUAAAAGUGAAGGCCUUCUACUGGCAGAUUGAAAGAUGGGAGCUUGAUACUUGGUAAGAGACAAUGGUACCGUACUACAUGGAUCUAGAGCAUUAACCAUAGGAGGUAAACAUGUUUUGAUCUGCUCUAUGACGUAGUUUUCUAAGGUAACUGAUUAUUCUUGCAAAUAUACAACAGUGCAAAUUGACCUCUAGAUGUAUGUGCAAAUAUAUACUUGAGUCUAAUUUAAUUAGCCCGGGGAGGGGAAAGUUA
Molecule: long non-coding RNA, 539 nt
Organism: Lolium perenne
Lineage: Eukaryota; Viridiplantae; Streptophyta; Magnoliopsida; Poales; Poaceae
Source: RefSeq, a predicted model, not a curated record